CCUGUGUAUCAUUCAUCGGGUCAAAAUUUGAUAAAUUUCUUACUUGCACAACAGCCUCGUCCCUCCCAGCCACAAAUCGGUGUUCAAUUUUGGGAAUAUCUUGGUAGGUUUGACCAAUCAUAGCCCGUGUCGCUCCCAAGAAUUGACCAGGAAAGAGCCAAUCAGAUUUCGCAGAACUACCAAGAAUCAAGUGACGGAAUUAUCCAAUCAGAUCUCGUAGAACUACCAAGAAUACUGAGCGUUUUCAACGACGAGAGAUUAUUGAAUCUUGAAGUCUUUUGGUUUAUUUCGAAAUACAAUCAUCUGAAGAUUAUCCUGUGUAUCAUUCAUCGGGUCAAAAUUUGAUACAUCAUAGCCCGUGUCGCUACCAAGAAUUGAUCAGGAAAGAGCCAAUCAGAUUUCGCAGAACUACCAAGAAUCAAGUGACGGAAUUAUCCAAUCAGAUCUCGUAGAACUACCAAGAAUACUGAGCAUUUUCAACGACAAGAGAUUAUUGAAUCUUGAAGUCUUUUGGUUUAUUUCGAAAUACACUCAUCUGAAGGCAUGCGAAGGCACAGGACCAAUACCUUCCCAGCUGUUAAACCUUCCAUCCUUGCAUCCUUCCCAUCUUCCUGCUGUGUAUGGGGGACCUUUGGCGUAUGAGGCGAACGUGAUAACCACUACACUACGGAAACAUUUCAUGAACUGCUGCAACCGCUUAUCAAAUACAAUGAACUUCAAAUACAUACAAAUAAUGCACUAUAAUGCAGUUAUGCGAUAUAUGCAAUAUGAUCUAAGAAGUAUAAAAAAUAUAUAUAUAUUUGUAACGGAUUGUUAUUUUUAAUAAAUUAAAAAAAAAAUGUUUCCACCCAGUCUCGAACCGGGGACCUUUCACGUGUUAGGCGAACGUGAAAACCACUACACUACGGAAACACAUCUUGUUACACGCUCCACUAUUCAUACAGUAGCUUACUAACAUAUAUAUUUUUAUUUAACACCAUAAAUAAAACAAGCCCUUAAUAUAUAAUAUAGCCCUGAUACGUUUUAUAGUGUAAGCGCGUAUAUGUUAAUGAGCAGUUCUACAUUUGUCCAGAUGCUUUGUUGAUACCCAGUUUUAAAAUAACAAGGACAUCUAACUAUUUACGACCAUGAAGAACGUUUUGACAGUUUUUAAGGCAACCCCAGCCUUAAACAAGUUUGGUAUUUAUUUUUAAAUAACUCCUACCCAAGAAUAAAACUGCUGCCCCGUGUGAGGAUCGAACUCACGACCUUCAGAUUAUGAGACUGACGCGCUACCUACUGCGCUAACGAGGCCUUGAAAAUGCUUUCCAUUCCAGGAUUGAGGAAUGUGGGAUCUAUGCAAUGCUAAAGGUUUAAAAGCAGGGAUCUUGCUCAGACCCGAAGAUCCUGUGAUUUUUUAUUCAGAAAAAACACCUUUGCUGGCAUUGGUGUGCUCUUCCUCUGGAGUAGCAGCUGGUCUUCAUUGCAAUGGUUUUCUGCAAGCAAUCAGAACAUUGGCUAGUUCCACCUUGAAGUCUAGAUAUUCCAUAACCUCUCUCUUUCUGUCCCCUAAGGAAUAGCGAUCUUGUCAGUAUUGUAAGCAUGCAUUUGCUGCUGACAAAUCCAGCAUGUGAACGAUCACCUUAGCUGUCCAUUUCUUGAUCCUGGUUUUUGCCCUGUAGUAGGAUUUGCAGCUGUCAAAUCAUGUCAGCUCCUCCCGUUUUUGAAUUGUAAUCUCUGGACGAUUUACCUCGAUUUAUUUGUCAUACAUUCUAAAAUGAUUCAGCUGUCAGGCCUACAUUGUAAAUGAAUGAAAAGUAUCAGAAAGAGGUUGUACAUAAACCCCAAAGUUUAACCCUUUCAGUCCAAAAUUUAUUUUCAAUCAUAAAAAAAAAUAUUUUAACUCUUUUUUCCUAGUCUUAUUGCAACUAGAAAUGAGACUCAAACUAAAUUUAGAUUUUAGCACAAAUCUUUUAUUGUUUUUUUUGUUGUCCACUCCAAUGGACAUCUUAGAAUAUUUCCUGAAAUUAAAACAUCAUAAAAAAUACACAAAAUAAUGAGAUUAGAAAAACAAAGAUACUAUCAUAGGCCCUCGGUCUAGAAUUUUUACUUGCGGUGAGCAGCCUUGAAACAAUUUCUAUGUGGCACAAAACACAGGUGCACUUUGCACUUUGUAAUUGUAUGUAAAAAUAAUGUGAUAUCUUGUAACAAUUGUAAGUCACCCUGGAUAAGGGCGUCUGCUAAGAAAUAAAUAAUAAUAUCGCAGGAGACAUGAUGUAAUAACAAGAGUAGUAAUAACAGUUAUAAUAACAAGGUUAUGGCAAUGUGGGCAGCAGUGCGGAGUAGCGGUUAGGGCUGUGGACUCUUGACCGGAGGGUUGUGGGUUCAGCAGGGACACUGCUGCUGUAUCCUUGAGCAAGGUACUUUACCUAGAUUGCUCCAGUAAAAACCCAACUGUAUACAUGGGUAAUUGUAUGUAAAAAUAAUGUGAUAUCUUGUAACAAUUGUAAGUCGUCCUGGAUAAGGGCGACUGCUAAGAAAUAAAUAAUAAUAAUAUUAAUAAUACAAUACCUAACCCCUCUGAUGUGCCUACUGUUCCCCCCUCAUUAAACGGCAAUAAAUGAUACAUUAAAUGUUCAUUCCGAUCACCCAGUUGCAAGCACCGAUCAGAAUGUAAUUCUUGACAUUGAUGUUGCUGUAUAGUGUCCCAGUAUGCAGCCCCCACCCCGUCUAAUUCUGCCACAAACAAAUCCCUGUUGUUCUGGGUUGACUCAGUGGCCCUCUGUAAAUCCAUGAGAAGCACAUUUUCUAUGUGGACAGUGCUUAAAGUCAUUAGUGGAUCAUGUUGCAGUGGAAAUAUCACACUUGAUGCUUGAUGUUAGAAAUGGAUUUAAUAAAGUAAUUGUGUUGCUAUUUUAUUCUAAUACAGUUGAAGUUCAUGGAACAGAAUUCAAGUUAUAAUUUGUUCCAUUGUUUUAUCUCUAACGCUACUAACACAU
Acipenser ruthenus (sterlet) is the source of this 2978-nucleotide long non-coding RNA. RefSeq lists it as uncharacterized. The transcript is spliced from 3 exons. The record is from RefSeq and is a predicted model, not a curated record. Lineage: Eukaryota; Metazoa; Chordata; Actinopteri; Acipenseriformes; Acipenseridae.